Triticum urartu is the source of this 135-nucleotide non-coding RNA. The record is from Rfam. Lineage: Eukaryota; Viridiplantae; Streptophyta; Magnoliopsida; Poales; Poaceae.
CAACAACUCCCUUUGUCCCAAAUUUCUUGUCUUAGAUUUGUCUAGAUACGGAUGUAUCUAACACUAAAAUGUGACUUGAUACAUCCGUAUCUAGACAAAUCUAAGACAAGAAUUUCGGGACGGAGGGAGUACUUU